CGCCGAGGUUUGCCUGGCUCCCUCUGCUCCCCUCCCCUCUGCUCCCUGCUGAUGGAUGUCGAUCCUGCUCUGGAAUGACACAGCUGGUGGCUUAAGGAGGCAUCACCAUCCCUGGAGAAGGAGGAGAAAUCACAGACUCCAAAAGAUGUCGGGACAGGGCUCUUGCACCUUGGUGACUGUGUCAACCAGAUUCAGUGGUGGGUACAAGCAGUGAGGACACCAGCUCCAGUCCCCGUCCCUCUGCUGUCCCCGGAACUGCUGUGGCAGGAUUCUCCAGGCUGGGUUAAAGACUCAGUGAAAUCUAUUUUGUAACAGACAGACGAGGAGCAACUUCCACAGAGACCUACUGCACCAACUCAUGAAGUCAGCAAGCCUGAAGGAAUCACAUCGCCUUGAAGCCACCGCAAGGACACGGAAAGUGGUUGAAAACAUAACUCAGCCUCCUCAGCGAGCACCUGGCUGUGCCCUCACCCAGAGGAGACUGUGGAAAGCCCACAGAAUGGAGAUACAGAGACGGACCCAAAGACAUAGUCAACGAGAAGCUGCUGAGGAACACGAGGGUCCCUGUACAUCCCCUGAGGACUGAUGGAGGAAUCCAAGGAUGCCAAAACUCGUCCCUUCAGCAGUGCCAGUUUUUGUCCCCACAUUCAACCAGAGGACAGGAGACUUCCCUUCGCAACAGAGGUAAAGGCAUGGGGAUAAGCCUGGUGAGGCAGGAGAGUAGAAUGGAUUAAUCCCAUCCCCAACGCUCAACUGCCCAGUGAAUUGAGGGUGGACACAAGACCCAGCACCCUCAUGCCACUCCUGGCAUGUGAAUCCCACCAGCACCUGGAAGAAGGAGAUGUCCUGCACACACUUUGCUGGGGCUAGGGCUGGAAACAAUUCCCUAGCUGAUUCAUUAUCCUAGAGUCCCUCUCUAAUUGUUUUAAAUGAAGAGAGUUUUCAUGUCACUUACAUGUUCACAUACCAUACAUGGACCUGUUGGAGUGCGUCCAGAGGAGGGCCACGAAGAGGAUCAGAGGGCUGGAGCACUUCUCCUAUGAAGAGAGGCUGAGAGAGUUGGGGUUGUUCAGCCUUGAGACGAGAAGGUGCCGGGGAGACUUUAUAGAAGCCUUCCAGUACCUAAAGGGACUACAUGAAAGCUGGAGAGGGACUUUUUACAAGGACAUGUCGUAAUAGGAUGGGGGUAAUGGCUUCAAACUGGAAGAAGAUAGAUUUAGAUUAAUUAGGAAAGAGCUCUUUACUGUGAGAGUGGUGAGACACCAGAACAGGUUGCCCAGAGAAGCUGUGGCUGCCCCAUCCCUGGAGGGGUUCAAGGCCAGGCUGGAUGGGGCUUUGAGCCAACCUGGUCUGGUGGGAGGUGUCCCUGCCCAGGGCAGGGGGGUUGGAACUCAAUGAUCUUUAAGGUUCUUUCCAACCCAAACCAUUCUGUGUUAAAGGGAAAAAAACCUUACUCUACCCCUGCACAUGCACAUGCAAGGGGAAAACAGGGAGGGCAGUGCAAUUGAUAAAGGAAAGGUGGCUGUGACUCUUCU
Molecule: long non-coding RNA, 1535 nt
Organism: Calidris pugnax (ruff)
Lineage: Eukaryota; Metazoa; Chordata; Aves; Charadriiformes; Scolopacidae
Exons: 5
Source: RefSeq, a predicted model, not a curated record